CAUGCAACAGUUAGCUCUGCUUGAAAUAAGUCUAAAUGAAAUGGUAGCUGUAGUGCCUGUGCCCGGUGGGAGUACUUAUAUGGGUGGACAUGAAGUAAGUUACAGGCGUGCGAGGCUACAGGGGAGAAAGUUUCUAAGGAUCUGAAGGUUGCAAAUGCUGGCUGUGAGUCCCUUGUUCCACUACUUUUCCAUUAUGAAUCAUUGCUAUGACAUCAGCGUUCUGGACGGUCAUCAAGCGGUGAGCAAUAAUAAUGCAGGUUCGACCCUUCCUGGCAUCGUCCAAGGCUUUCUGGACAAUCUGCAGACAGAUGCAGUGAAAAACUUGCUAUUACUUGGAGAAUCUUCCCUUUCAUAGCCUGGUUUGCAAGGACUAUCAUUACUUUAGGAAGGGAGCUCUGAGUAUGAGGUAGCAAGGAAGAAGACUUGAAGACAAGAGUGAGUGAAGGAGAUGUUAGGAGAGACUGUAGGAGCCUCCUCUGCUGCCUGGG
Mauremys mutica (yellowpond turtle) is the source of this 488-nucleotide long non-coding RNA. RefSeq lists it as uncharacterized. Lineage: Eukaryota; Metazoa; Chordata; Testudines; Geoemydidae. The transcript has 5 exons. The record is from RefSeq and is a predicted model, not a curated record.